This 459-nucleotide ribosomal RNA is filed under the name uncultured bacterium. Its description in RNAcentral is "partial 16S ribosomal RNA". It matches the Rfam family "Bacterial small subunit ribosomal RNA", at positions 338 to 795 of the family's 1533-position model. The record is from RNAcentral.
CCUACGGGUGGCAGCAGUGAGGAAUAUUGGUCAAUGGGCUUACGCCUGAACCAGCCAAGUCGCGUGAGGGAAGACUGCCCUAUGGGUUGUAAACCUCUUUUGUCGGGGAGCAAAGCGAGUCACGUGUGACUCAUUGAGAGUACCCGAAGAAAAAGCAUCGGCUAACUCCGUGCCAGCAGCCGCGGUAAUACGGAGGAUGCGAGCGUUAUCCGGAUUUAUUGGGUUUAAAGGGUGCGUAGGCGGAAUAUCAAGUCAGCGGUAAAAAUUCGGGGCUCAACCCCGUCGUGCCGUUGAAACUGAUGUUCUUGAGUGGGCGAGAAGUAUGCGGAAUGCGUGGUGUAGCGGUGAAAUGCAUAGAUAUCACGCAGAACUCCGAUUGCGAAGGCAGCAUACCGGCGCCCAACUGACGCUGAAGCACGAAAGCGUGGGUAUCGAACAGGAUUAGAUACCCCUGUAGUC